UACGGAGGUUGCAAGCGUUAUCCGGAUUCACUGGGUUUAAAGGGUGCGUAGGAGGGCAGGUAAGUCAGUGGUGAAAUCUUCGAGCUUAACUCGGAAACUGCCGUUGAUACUAUCUGUCUUGAAUACCGUGGAGGUGAGCGGAAUAUGUCAUGUAGCGGUGAAAUGCUUAGAUAUGACAUAGAACACCAAUUGCGAAGGCAGCUCGCUACACGAAUAUUGACUCUGAGGCACGAAAGCGUGGGGAUCAAACAGG
This 253-nucleotide ribosomal RNA is filed under the name uncultured bacterium. RNAcentral's name for it is "partial 16S ribosomal RNA". It matches the Rfam family "Bacterial small subunit ribosomal RNA", at positions 524 to 776 of the family's 1533-position model. The record is from RNAcentral.